RNAcentral lists this ribosomal RNA (676 nucleotides) under uncultured bacterium. Its description in RNAcentral is "bacterial SSU rRNA". It matches the Rfam family "Bacterial small subunit ribosomal RNA", at positions 8 to 675 of the family's 1533-position model. The record is from RNAcentral.
AGAGUUUGAUUCUGGCUCAGAUUGAACGCUGGCGGCAGGCUUAACACAUGCAAGUCGAGCGGAAACGAAGGUAGCUUGCUACCAGACGUCGAGCGGCGGACGGGUGAGUAAUGCUUAGGAAUCUACCGAGUAGUGGGGGAUAGCCAUUGGAAACGAUGAUUAAUACCGCAUAUAUCCUACGGGGGAAAGCAGGGGACCUUCGGGCCUUGCGCUAUUCGAUGAGCCUGAGUGAGAUUAGCUAGUUGGUGGGGUAAAGGCCUACCAAGGCGACGAUCUCUAGCUGGUCUGAGAGGAUGAUCAGCCACACUGGGACUGAGACACGGCCCAGACUCCUACGGGAGGCAGCAGUGGGGAAUAUUGCACAAUGGACGAAAGUCUGAUGCAGCCAUGCCGCGUGUGUGAAGAAGGCCUUCGGGUUGUAAAGCACUUUCAGCGAGGAGGAAAGGUCAGUAAGUAAUAUUUGCUGGCUGUGACGUUACUCGCAGAAGAAGCACCGGCUAAUUUAGUGCCAGCAGCCGCGGUAAUACUAAAGGUGCAAGCGUUAAUCGGAAUUACUGGGCGUAAAGCGCGCGUAGGUGGUUUGUUAAGUUGGAUGUGAAAGCCCAGGGCUCAACCUUGGAACUGCAUUCAAAACUGACUCACUAGAGUACGAGAGAGGUUAGUGGAAUUUCCUGUG